GCCCAGGAACUCUCACCAUGAUGGCUUUAAUAACAUGGUGGCACAUUGCCUGGUAACCUGAGGGUUGGUGGGGUUUGUUUCUACCUACUUUACCGAAAAGCCCUCUAUCAGCUGUUGGCCAACCACAUCAGGGUGGGCUGUCAAUACCAGCAAAUAUGCAGAAAGCUAUCGGAUCCAAACCUAUGCUGAAUAUAUGGGGAGAAAACAGGAAGAGAAGCAGAUCAAAAGAAAGUGGACUGAAGAUAGCUGGAAGGAGGCUGACAGCAAACGGUUAAACCCCCAGUGCAUACCCUACACCCUGCAGAAUCACUAUUACCGCAACAAUAGUUUUACAGCUCCCAGCACAGUAGGAAAGAGAAAUUUGAGUCCUAGUCAAGAGGAAGCUGGCCUGGAGGACGGAGUGUCAGGGGAGAUUUCCGACACUGAGCUUGAGCAGACCGAUUCCUGUGCAG
This 452-nucleotide unclassified non-coding RNA is filed under the name Homo sapiens (human). Its description in RNAcentral is "poly(A)-specific ribonuclease (ENSG00000274829.4)". The record is from RNAcentral. Lineage: Eukaryota; Metazoa; Chordata; Mammalia; Primates; Hominidae.